UAGGGAAUCUUCGGCAAUGGGGGGAACCCUGACCGAGCAACGCCGCGUGAGUGAAGAAGGUUUUCGGAUCGUAAAGCUCUGUUGUUAAGGAAGAACGAGUGUGAGAAUGGAAAGUUCAUACUGUGACGGUACUUAACCAGAAAGGGACGGCUAACUACGUGCCAGCAGCCGCGGUAAUACGUAGGUCCCGAGCGUUGUCCGGAUUUAUUGGGCGUAAAGCGAGCGCAGGCGGUUAGAUAAGUCUGAAGUUAAAGGCAGUGGCUCAACCAUUGUAGGCUUUGGAAACUGUUUAACUUGAGUGCAGAAGGGGAGAGUGGAAUUCCAUGUGUAGCGGUGAAAUGCGUAGAUAUAUGGAGGAACACCGGGGGCGAAAGCGGCUCUCUGGUCUGUAACUGACGCUGAGGCUCGAAAGCGUGGGGAGCGAACAGG
Molecule: ribosomal RNA, 429 nt
Filed under: Bacteroidota bacterium
Lineage: Bacteria; Pseudomonadati; Bacteroidota
Description: Bacteroidetes bacterium partial 16S ribosomal RNA
Rfam family: Bacterial small subunit ribosomal RNA
Source: RNAcentral